Molecule: long non-coding RNA, 489 nt
Filed under: Homo sapiens (human)
Lineage: Eukaryota; Metazoa; Chordata; Mammalia; Primates; Hominidae
Description: HSALNT0159125
Source: RNAcentral
CCCGAGGAGCGGUGGCAUCCGUUGCAUGAUGCAAAAAAGGAUUGAUUUCAAAAGUUGCGAGUUGCAUUGGCAGCCGCCCUUGGCGCCCGGGCCACCUUUUUCCCGGGCCCCGCUGCAAGGGCCGGGAACGUUUCCGCCACCUGGCCGGGCUCGACCGCGCGGCGCUCUGCGGGGCGCUGUCCCCGCUCCCCGAGUGCGCAGCGGAGCGUCCUGGAAGACAAUGACCAUGGGAACAAUUUGCACAGGAGGCUAGGAGCCCAGGAAAAGCCGCCUGGGCGCCAGGCAGAGGUUUUUUGAAAACACAAACGGCGCGUUAGAUGCUUGGGGACUCCCAGCAUCUGUCCUUCCUAUUGUUUAGCUCGGCUCCGGAGUUCACGGGAGCCUCGUGAAAUGUGGAGACGUCCUGCAAAGUUUCUUGAACACUUCAUGUGCGUGGUAGGAAGUCGAGGAAAAAGGUUUACGGUUCCCCGCUGGUUGCAUUGUUUGUCC